Molecule: ribosomal RNA, 253 nt
Filed under: uncultured bacterium
Lineage: Bacteria
Description: partial 16S ribosomal RNA
Rfam family: Bacterial small subunit ribosomal RNA
Source: RNAcentral
UACGUAGGGUGCGAGCGUUAAUCGGAAUUACUGGGCGUAAAGCGUGCGCAGGCGGUUCGUUAUGUCUGGUGUGAAAGCCCCGGGCUUAACCUGGGAAGUGCGCGCGAAACUGACGAGCUUGAGUGCCGGAGAGGGUCGCGGAAUUCCCGGUGUAGAGGUGAAAUUCGUAGAUAUCGGGAGGAACACCAGUGGCGAAGGCGGCGACCUGGACGGACACUGACGCUGAGACGCGAAAGCGUGGGGAGCAAACAGG